This is a long non-coding RNA of Triticum aestivum (bread wheat), 1384 nucleotides long. RefSeq lists it as uncharacterized. The transcript is spliced from 6 exons. The record is from RefSeq and is a predicted model, not a curated record. NCBI's taxonomy places the organism in Eukaryota, Viridiplantae, Streptophyta, Magnoliopsida, Poales, Poaceae.
ACCCUUUUCAUCGUACUGGAUUAGGAAUGCUUGCUUGUACCUGGUGCUGAUGGUUGGGGUUCUGCAGACUUGGCAGAGAUCGUGAAUUUUCUCGGUAUCAUGCAAAGCGAUUCAGUUGAGAGGAAUGCAACUCUUUGUUCUUUGAGGCUUACUUUUCUUUAGUGUUAGAUUUUGUUACAUAUCUGCUGUGUGACGAGAAUUGCAAACUCAGAUUCAGCGGGUGCCAUCUUUUGUGGUGUUGCAUGCCAGAGGCAGGCAGUUGGAGCUUCUCCGUCUAAUUGUUAACUUGGUGGAAGCUAGCUGCUAUACCGACAACCUAGAGUGAAGCCAAAUCAGGAGCUUGGAUGAUGUCAGGUUGAAUCUCGAGGUUCUCAAGUACUUGUGAUGAAUAGUUCAGUGAAAUGUACAAAGGGAUAACCUUGGAUGCAGUACUGGAGCAUAGGCGGGACACUACUGAUGCAAUUGCUGAUCAACAUCUUUGGCUUCACGGUUAUUCAUGGAAACUGGAUGUGGCAAUGAAACAAAAGGAGUUGCACUGGUUGGGAGGCAUGGAGAGUUCAAGUACUAUCUGGGAUACUACUUACAUUGCUAAUAAGUUAACGUCUGGUCCUAAUACUAGGAUUCCCAGCUAUCUUAGUUUCAAGCCCUGUAUGCUGAUUUGAUUGAAGGUGGAAAUGGGACUCCUUUUGGUGCUUAAGUAAUAACUCAAUGAUAGCGGGAACUGGUUGAAUUAUCAAUAUACAUUUGGGCAUAGAGCAUGAGGAUGUAUGAAACUUCUGAACACUUUCAGGUUGUCGGACAAACUGCAACUAUGAACAGUAUGCCUCAUUUGACUCUUGUGGGGGUAGAGCGAUAAAAUAAACAUGUCAUCACUAGGCGAGUUCAAACACUGGAUGGCAAGGCGAUCAUCUAUUUGAAUACACUUAUUCGUUUCAAGGAGGUAGAAGGCGGUGCAGAAGCUGCAGUUUUGACCCCACUUGUGCUAGCCAAUUUUUUUUCUUUGAGAUUUGUGCCAGCCAAUUUGGGUAUGAGUGAUGCUCACGGAGGCCAUUCUACGAUAGCUGAUGGACUGUCAUGUCUAUAAAUUCUUAUAUAGCUGACAAUUCAAUCAUGAAAUGCUAGGGCUCCAUGGAAGGAAAAGGAAAAUGCGUCUGCAAAAUCAGUAGAUUUUGUGAUGGAAGGAUUGGUAGAUUUGAUAUUAUCUUACAACCUAUAAGAACACCGAAUGUGUGAAACAACAUUCGUUAUUGUCCAGCAACGCGACCAUAAAUCCACAAUGAUUGCAACACUGUAUUUAUUUGACCAUAUAUUUUCAGAAUAUUUCAUGUUUUGUUUAUAUAUACUUAUGAUACUUACUUUAAGUUUGAAACGUGCGUUGCACGUG